CAACGCGAAAACCUUACCUACCCUUGACAUGCUAGGAACUUGCCAGAGAUGGCUUGGUGCCCGAAAGGGAACCUAGACACAGGUGCUGCAUGGCUGUCGUCAGCUCGUGUCGUGAGAUGUUGGGUUAAGUCCCGCAACGAGCGCAACCCUUGUCAUUAAUUGCCAUCAUUCAGUUGGGCACUUUAAUGAGACUGCCGGUGACAAACCGGAGGAAGGUGGGGAUGACGUCAAGUCCUCAUGGCCCUUAUGGGUAGGGCUUCACACGUAAUACAAUGGUCGGUACAGAGGGUUGCCAACCCGCGAGGGGGAGCCAAUCCCAGAAAACCGAUCGUAGUCCGGAUUGUAGUCUGCAACUCGACUGCAUGAAGUCGGAAUCGCUAGUAAUCGUGGAUCAGAAUGUCACGGUGAAUACGUUCCCGGGUCUU
RNAcentral lists this ribosomal RNA (425 nucleotides) under uncultured Thiobacillus sp. Its description in RNAcentral is "bacterial SSU rRNA". It matches the Rfam family "Bacterial small subunit ribosomal RNA", at positions 957 to 1382 of the family's 1533-position model. Lineage: Bacteria; Pseudomonadati; Pseudomonadota; Betaproteobacteria; Nitrosomonadales; Thiobacillaceae. The record is from RNAcentral.